UACGUAGGGGGCAAGCGUUGUCCGGAUUUAUUGGGCGUAAAGCGCGUGUAGGCGGCCAGGUAGGUCCGCUGUGAAAACCCGAGGCUCAACCUCGGGACGUCGGCGGAAACCAUUUGGCUAGAGUCCGGAAGAGGAGAGUGGAAUUCCCGGUGUAGCGGUGAAAUGCGCAGAUAUCGGGAAGAACACCCGUGGCGAAGGCGGCUCUCUGGGGCGGUACUGACACUGAGAAGCGAAAGCAUGGGGAGCGAACAGG
RNAcentral lists this ribosomal RNA (253 nucleotides) under uncultured bacterium. RNAcentral's name for it is "partial 16S ribosomal RNA". It matches the Rfam family "Bacterial small subunit ribosomal RNA", at positions 524 to 776 of the family's 1533-position model. The record is from RNAcentral.